RNAcentral lists this long non-coding RNA (521 nucleotides) under Astyanax mexicanus (Mexican tetra). Its description in RNAcentral is "lncRNA (ENSAMXG00005006821.1)". The record is from RNAcentral. Lineage: Eukaryota; Metazoa; Chordata; Actinopteri; Characiformes; Acestrorhamphidae.
AAUAAACAAAGAAAUAAACAAGGAGCAAUAAACAAAGAAAUAAACAAGGGCAAAGACCGACGAAUACAGACUGAAACACAGGGCUAUAAAUAUACAAGAAACACAGGAAGUAGAAACACCUGGGGCUAGGGGGCGGAGCUACGAAUGAACACAGGUGAAUGGAAAAUUACAGGGGAACAACACAGAGCAGCACGGGUCACGUGGGGGUAACACAGAGACAUGAGAACAGGCAGGAACAGGGCAAAGACAUGACAGCAACAUUAAAGUGACUAUUAAAUGAUCAUUUCCACACACAGAGGGAUACCAGGCAUUAAACAACAACAUGUAAACAGUGUGCUGCAGCCAUGGAAACGGGCAAGCUGGCUAUGUUUCUGCUGAGCAUGUAAUCAAUGAUCUUCAGUAAGGCUGCUAACCACAGCAUCUGGGGAGGAGCAGGAAACAUUCCUCCCUGCACUCGUGAAAACGGCAUACCACAGCGCGUGCAUUCCAUCCCACCUGGACCUCCAGAUGGUUAAUCCCAG